UACGAAGGGGGCUAGCGUUGCUCGGAAUCACUGGGCGUAAAGGGUGCGUAGGCGGGUCUUUAAGUCAGGGGUGAAAUCCUGGAGCUCAACUCCAGAACUGCCUUUGAUACUGAAGAUCUUGAGUUCGGGAGAGGUGAGUGGAACUGCGAGUGUAGAGGUGAAAUUCGUAGAUAUUCGCAAGAACACCAGUGGCGAAGGCGGUUCUCUGGGACGGUACUGACGCUGAGACGCGAAAGCGUGGGGAGCGAACAGG
This 253-nucleotide ribosomal RNA is filed under the name uncultured bacterium. RNAcentral describes it as "partial 16S ribosomal RNA". It matches the Rfam family "Bacterial small subunit ribosomal RNA", at positions 524 to 776 of the family's 1533-position model. The record is from RNAcentral.